Long non-coding RNA from Orcinus orca (killer whale), 4566 nucleotides. RefSeq lists it as uncharacterized. The record is from RefSeq and is a predicted model, not a curated record. Lineage: Eukaryota; Metazoa; Chordata; Mammalia; Artiodactyla; Delphinidae. The transcript is spliced from 3 exons.
ACUAAAUGGGGAGAGGGCUUUAUGCUGAGGGGAGGGCUGGGGACGCUUAUGGCGGGAGCUGUGCGGGCCCGUGGGGAGGAAGAUGUCUGGAGGAUCAGGGAGAUGGGCGGGACCCCAGGGUUGUUAUUCAGCUCACCCCAGCCAAUGGCCCUGGGUGGGAUUAUUCGCAGCGACUGCGGCGCGUGGACCGGGGACACAGAAGACGCUGCUACGCCUCUAGCACCUAGCACAAUGACUGGUCAGGGAAUGCAGGAAUGAACAGUGUUUGCCGCGGAAUCCAGAAUCUCCAGCACUGGCAGCUCCAUCCGCGUGACCGAACCCUGUCCUUCUCCACCUUACACAGGGGAUUCUGGUGCGGGGCUGUGGGCCGGAAUUAGAACCCGCCCUUUGUCUGGAGGGUCAGUCAAUUGAGGCCUCUGUCUAGCAGUGGGGGAAUGAUGGAAGGAACGUGGAGCCCCUUACAGGGUCACACCGUGAUGCACAUCUGCCUCAGGCAGACACAGCUCCUGGCCUCCACCUCUACCCGCCUCCUCCCAGCCUGACUCAGGCCCCAUUCUCUGUGGCGCCUCCUCUCCUGCUUCCCCAAUCCGAGGGCCUCAUCAUCCAAAGCCUCGGGCCAGUUCCUAGACUGACUUCCGGACUAGAUGGCAGAACGCUGCGGGUCCCAAGAAGAGGACGCCUGGACACCCUUCCACACGGCCUUCGGCCAAGCUGCGCCCCACUGCAAGCGGAGCUGGGGACAAGAUGACCUCCCACUCCCUGUGCCCAUCUUCUACGUCAGAACUUGCCAGGAUGCCCUCCUGCCUACAAGGCCCAAGUUGAUCCCAGGAUAGAUCAACAUGUCACCCGGCCUCAACCUGCACGCAAGGUGCCCAGUGUUUUCCAAACCUGCCAGCCUCUAAUUCAAGGGGCCCUUUUGUCCCUUGACUGCUGCCCACUGACUCCGCUUGUGCUCCUGCCACUCUCCCAGUGCCUGGCACAGCGUGGUGGUCAACAAGAGUGAGUGGGAUGGAGAGAACAUGGAUCUCUGACCAGUCCAUCCACUCAGUGACCCGUCUCUGAGGAAGGAAACUGGCCACUAGAUGGCAGUGCUGAGCUGACCAGGUCCGAGUGGCCGGGUGGACAUAGCCCUCUGGAGGCAGGAAGAAAGUUGGUCUCACAGCUCUAGGCAGGCUUUCUAAAACCCAAAUGUGCGUCACUUAGAAGGCUCACUAGAACUGCCUCUGACUGCUGUGGCAGUGCUGUCUAGGGGAGAGAGCAAGGCCAUGGCCACUCAAUAGCUGUAUGAUCUUGGAUGACUCUGGAACCUUCGCUGAGUCUCCAUUUCCCCAUCUGUAAAAUGAGGUCUAGACAUAUUUACUUCCAAGGUAGUUGUGAGAUAAAAUCAGUGAAAAGCCGGACACAGCAGGUGCUCGACAAAUCCUAGCUUCCAUUUAAUAACACCUGCCAGGUGCUUCACCUGUUUCCAUGUUAGCGCAUCUGUGAUGGGGUGGACCUGGGGGGCUGGGAGCUGGGUCUUCCAGGGGAGCGGCCAUGUCCUGUUGACUCCAUUGGGGUUGGGGCAGGGACAGCAUGUGGGCAGGCCCCCCUGCAAAGGGCAGUUACCUGGCAGUGUGGACAGGAUGUGGGGAGGGGGCAGCACCCUUUGCCCCCAGAUCACUAGUUGUUUGUGGCUUUGGGUCUCCCAGGGGACAUGUGAGAGUUAUGUCCCCCUGUUCUGGAGGAGACUCAGAGUACAGGCUGUCUCCCAGCCUGCUUGCUCUCCUCCCUGACUCCCACAGUGGGCUCUGUCGCUCCAUCCUUGCCCUUCCCCAACCCCUGUGGGCGUGAGACCCACAGCUCCAUUGGCUUGAGAACCCCUUGGUGUGUCAACAUCUCCCAUGGGUGCGAGUCUCUUCUGCACUUUAGCCUGAGGCUUCCCAAGGACAAGACCCCCUGAAGAUGGGGUCCUCCCGAUGCUAGACCUAUGUUUUCCAUCGGACUGGGAUGCAUCUAAGGGUAUGGUCUGGCUCCCCCUUCAGACUCAGGCACCCACAGGACAGGAGCUGCCCUUUCCCCUUGGAUGGGAGCCACCUAAUGGGAGAACCCAUGGUUCACUGUCAGCUGGGAGCUCCCGAGGGCAGGGGUCUCCCCUUUCUGUUGGAGGACGGUUGGAGGAUGGCUGCCUCAAGCCAGGGAUGGUUCCUUCUCCGGUCCCGAGCCUGUGUCCAUCCAGCUCUGUCGGCUAGAAGCGCCCGACUCCUGUGGCUGCAGAAGGGCUCCUGGCUGAACCCCUGGACUCCUUCCCCUUCUCUUCCCCAGCCCCUCAGCCGUUGGAGGCACCAGCUCAUUCACCUUCACAGACCCAGGGGCCAGGCUGCUGUGUUGGGGUUAAUAAGCUCGGGGCCUUGCUCUACUCCUGCCUCCCCACCCAGCCAGGGGCCGCUCAAGCCUGCUCCCGGCCUCUAACCCUGAGACCAGCUCUUUAAUUGCUUUCCUUGGUCUGCUCUGCUCCCUGCUCCCUUCUGUCUCCCUGCCUGACUGUGUCCCUUUGGGAGGGUGAGAGGCGGGGACCAGAUGUGUCCCUGGAGGGAGGAGAGGGCUGACCGGCGGCCUGUUAUUUCCAAUCCAGUGGUCCUUCAAAUGGGCAGGAUGAGCCCGGGGUAGGGCUGCGGGUGAGCCCAGGGGAGCUCUGGGGUGAGCUAGAAAACACAGCCAUGGUCUCCAGGCUCUUGGGUACGACUCUGGUCCUUCCUCCACCCACAAACUCCAUCCCAAGACUUUCUAGGUCCCUAUUCACAAAAGAACUGUGGAGAAGGGGAAGACAGUCAGAAACUAGACUCUGUCUGGGAAGCAGGAUCCCCCAAACCUAGCCAAGAGCCAAAGAGACAUUCUGGGGGAAACUGGAGGCAGAUGAGCAAGGGUCUGGGAGGCAGGAUGCCUGAGUUAGCAGCUGCCAGGGAGGAAGGAUCCCCAUGGGGUGAGGAUGUCCCCUGUGGGUGCCAAGCCGAUGGCUGGCGGUGGGAGGACCCAGUGGAAAAAGCCCAGUCCCUUCCUCUCGACACAUCCUAACACUGAUGGAGGUUUGGGUUUACGCUCAGGUGACAAGGACUCCAUCCUGACUCUUUGUGUGAAGGGACCAUGUCUUGUUCUGUGUCUGCAGCUCCUGGCACUGAGCCUGAUUCUCUGAACUGGGCAGGAAUUUGUGCCCCCGGGGUGGGGCCCAGACCUGAGCUUCGGGGCCUGGAGUGGGUGCAAAGAGCCUGGGAAGAGAGGACGUCUAAACUCCCUGAAGUAGAGGCAGGGGCUCUGCGUAGGCCCUCAAGGCGGAAGAGGCAGGCUGAAGCCGGGAGGGGGAACCUAGGGCAGUGGACGGGGGAGCCAUCUAUUGCCGCCUCUGGCGGAUGACUCUAUGUGAGAACAAUCCAAUCUCAGAGCCUCAUCGCUGCCCACGGAGGUCAGCUGGGAGCCGGCCGUCAGCUCGCUGCCCCCCUCAGCCCCUGCCAGCUCCCUGGACCAGCCAGGCUGCCUCCUCGUGAACGGCCCCUCUCAGCCCAACCUCCCGUGAUUGAGGGCAGGAGCCACGUGUGCUUAACUCCAUCGGCAGAGUCUUUGUACAUUUAAUGGGUCACCCGAGAGCACAUUUUGCACCACGGAGCCACAAAUGUUUGCUGAGCGAAUGGUCAGCUGCAGAACAUCCUUGUCAAGAGUGACCUCUUCCCCUUGCAAGCUGCCCCCAGCCCUCGUGCAACGGAGCCUGUUGGGCGAAGCUUGCCCUCCUGGCCCUGGUUACCAGCCACCUUGCCCUGUGCCUGCUGCCUCUGCGCUUGCAGGGGUGAUGGUGACGAUCAAAUGAGAUAAUAGAUGUGAGGGCCCCAGGAAAUGAGGAACUUAUUCAAUUUGGAUCCAACCAGCAUGCGGCGAGGUCUCCUGAGGUCAAAGGCACCACACCAAGCCGUUGGGGGCUACAGAUGUGAGGUGGUGACUGCUUCUGUGGGGAUCAUGGUACCCAGGGGAAGGAAACUCAUGAAGACUAAUUGGAGAGGAGGAAAUUCCCGGCACGCGGAAAGAAACGAUGUCUGUUCACUUCUAAACAGAAGCAGCUUGGUGUCACGUGUGCGACCAGAUCCUGGUCUGAGUCCUGGCGCUGCCACUUGCCGUCUUAACUCCGGGCACAUUUUGUUAACCUUUUUGUCUAUUUCCUCAUUAUACCUCAUAAGGUCGUGAAGUCGUGUGAGAUGCCUGCAGCCGGUAGGAAUGCGGCGCUCCCCUCUGUGCUCUCCACUCCUCCAAAAAGGCAUGGAAACUGAGCGGGGAGGGGUGCCCCAGGUAGAGGGGGAGGUUGCUCGCCCAGAGCAGCAGAGGCCUCACUUGAAAUUAGCGGCAGUGUUUACACACUACUCACAAAGUGCUAAAUGCCUUUUACGUGUUUGUUUUCAGAAGCAAUUUAAACACAGACUCCUGGAAUUUUGGUUAUGCCAUUCGUUCGUGCAGCCAGCCACGUCUUCCUGGGGAAAAAGAGGCAGGCUUGGGUUGAACUGUCAAAAUCCGAAUGAGUGGAGGGGAAAGCCACGAACGGGGGUGGAG